Patiria miniata (bat star) is the source of this 264-nucleotide long non-coding RNA. RefSeq lists it as uncharacterized. The record is from RefSeq and is a predicted model, not a curated record. The transcript has 3 exons. NCBI's taxonomy places the organism in Eukaryota, Metazoa, Echinodermata, Asteroidea, Valvatida, Asterinidae.
GUGGUGAAUCAGCAAGACUGCAAGUGGAGGUUCUGGGAUGUGCAGAAGAAUACACAACAACUGAAAUGACCACUAAAGUCACCACUGUCACAACACCGACAACAACUGUCAGCGAAGAAACAACAAGCUCCCGAACCACGACGUCACAAAUGUCAACUACUCCAGGUUACUGUCUAGAGCCCAUGGAUGGGGAAAAGGGACUUGAACCUGAAGUUAAGGCGGCUGGAGAUCUCACAAUUGAUAGUCAGACCUCCUACUUGACAA